GGCGAGUGAAGCGGCAACAGCUCAAAUUUGAAAUCUGGCCUCUUCGGGGCCCGAGUUGUAAUUUGCAGAGGGUGCUUUGGCGUUGGCGGCGGUCUAAGUUCCUUGGAACAGGACAUCGCAGAGGGUGAGAAUCCCGUAUGUGGUCGCCCGCCUUCGCCGUGUAAAGCCCCUUCGACGAGUCGAGUUGUUUGGGAAUGCAGCUCUAAAUGGGAGGUAAAUUUCUUCUAAAGCUAAAUACCGGCCAGAGACCGAUAGCGCACAAGUAGAGUGAUCGAAAGAUGAAAAGCACUUUGGAAAGAGAGUCAAACAGCACGUGAAAUUGUUGAAAGGGAAGCGCUUGCAGCCAGACUUGGCCGCCGUUGCUCACCCGGGCUCCUGCCCGGGGCACUCUUCGGCGGUCAGGCCAGCAUCAGUUCGGGCGGUCGGAUAAAGGGCUCUGACACGUACUUCCCCUCGGGGUUGACAUACAGGGGAGCCGCCAUGCGACCAGCCCGGACUGAGGUCCGCGCAUCUGCCAGGAUGCUGGCGUAAUGGCUGUAA
RNAcentral lists this ribosomal RNA (540 nucleotides) under Preussia sp. (in: ascomycete fungi). RNAcentral's name for it is "LSU rRNA". It matches the Rfam family "Eukaryotic large subunit ribosomal RNA", at positions 88 to 643 of the family's 3401-position model. The record is from RNAcentral. Lineage: Eukaryota; Fungi; Ascomycota; Dothideomycetes; Pleosporales; Sporormiaceae.